AAUCUUGUCUCAGAUAUCCCACUGAACCUUGCCUCACAUAACCAGAGAGAACCUUGUCUCAAAUAUCCCAUUGAAUCUUGCCUCACAUAACCACUCCUUGAAAACCCACUCCAUCUCAGCUUUCUCCAUUGACAACCGCCCACCGCCGCCGUCACAGGCCUUGCCAUCGCCGCCUAUCGCUCUGCUUUUCCACGCACAUCUGUCUUCUUGUUUCCAUGUUCUACCUCAGAUCUAGGUCAAAUCCGCGCCAGAUCUACUCAGAUCCGGCUUUUUGGGCUGCUUGGACUACCUUUCUCUUGCUCUUUGCUUAUUCAUACUGCUUUUCAUCGGUCUUACAUUGAGAAUUAAGUUGGAUGAGAACAAGGAAGAGAGACAGAGAGGAUGAGUUCUCAUAUUUGGUGGCUAUUGGGAAAUUCUUGUUUCUAUUAUGUGUGGGAGUGUGACUUUGAGAAUUGAGAUGACAGAGCACCAGGUACUCGGGUUAUACUAUUGGUCUGUUUUCAUUGCAACUUGGUGGGUCUCAAAAAUACUAUAUAAUAUUAUAUUAGAUUAAAUUAUUCAA
Molecule: non-coding RNA, 562 nt
Organism: Arachis ipaensis
Lineage: Eukaryota; Viridiplantae; Streptophyta; Magnoliopsida; Fabales; Fabaceae
Source: RefSeq, a predicted model, not a curated record